ACUUUAUGAUUAUAUAUAUUAAUA
This 24-nucleotide small nuclear RNA is filed under the name Arabidopsis thaliana (thale cress). Its description in RNAcentral is "snRNA_11445". The record is from RNAcentral. Lineage: Eukaryota; Viridiplantae; Streptophyta; Magnoliopsida; Brassicales; Brassicaceae.